Molecule: ribosomal RNA, 766 nt
Filed under: uncultured cyanobacterium
Lineage: Bacteria; Bacillati; Cyanobacteriota
Description: bacterial SSU rRNA
Rfam family: Bacterial small subunit ribosomal RNA
Source: RNAcentral
AGAGUUUGAUCAUGGCUCAGGAUGAACGCUGGCGGUCUGCUUAACACAUGCAAGUCGAACGAAUCCUUUCGGGGAUUAGUGGCGGACGGGUGAGUAACGCGUGAGAAUCUGCCAAAAGGACUGGGACAACCACUGGAAACGGUGGCUAAUACCAGAUGUGCCGCAACGUAAAAGAGGAAACUCGCCUUUUGAGGAGCUCGCGUCUGAUUAGCUAGUUGGUGAGGUAAAAGCUCACCAAGGCAACGAUCAGUAGCUGGUCUGAGAGGACGACCAGCCACACUGGCACUGAGAUACGGGCCAGACUCCUACGGGAGGCAGCAGUAGGGAAUAUUGGGCAAUGGCGGAAACGCUGACCCAGCCAUGCCGCGUGCAGGAAGAAGGCGCUCAGCGUUGUAAACUGCUUUUGCCGGGGAAGAAUGGCUAGUACGUGUACUAGACGCGACGGUACCUGGUGAAUAAGCACCGGCUAACUCCGUGCCAGCAGCCGCGGUAAUACGGAGGAUGCAAGCGUUAUCCGGAAUUAUUGGGCGUAAAGCGUCCGCAGGUGGCACUUCAAGUCUGCUGUCAAAGACCGGGGCUUAACCCUGGAAAGGCAGUGGAAACUGAAGCGCUAGAGUGUGGCAGGGGUAGAGGGAAUUCCCGGUGUAGCGGUGAAAUGCGUAGAGAUCGGGAAGAACAUCGGUGGCGAAAGCGCUCUACUGGACUGCAACUGACACUCAGGGACGAAAGCUAGGGGAGCGAAUGGGAUUAGAUACCCCCGUAGUCC